RNAcentral lists this long non-coding RNA (313 nucleotides) under Capsella rubella. Its description in RNAcentral is "long non-coding RNA (CRUB_LNC003947)". Lineage: Eukaryota; Viridiplantae; Streptophyta; Magnoliopsida; Brassicales; Brassicaceae. The record is from RNAcentral.
UAAUCUGUGACUAUAUAAUUGGUAUGGACAAAAACACACAAGCAUAAAAAGUCAAAUGAAUUUAUAUACAGUAAUUAAAACACCAAAUUAAUUACACAAUAAUAAUCACAUUGAAUACAUAUAACAACCAAAAAGACUAACGGUAAAAAAAAAACGAGGAAUAAUGACAAUUAAUGAAAUAUAAUAACAAUAUCAAAUAACCACACUCCACUAUAAAUAGGAAUAUCAAACACAUCAUAAAAAUAACAAACAAAAAAACAGCCAAAAACAAAAACAAAUAUCAUCUACAAAAACCAAAUGGAUAACAUACUCU